UUGCCCUAGUAACGGCGAGUGAAGCGGCAACAGCUCAAAUUUGAAAUCUGGCUUCGGCCCGAGUUGUAAUUUGUAGAGGAAGCUUUUGGCGCGGCACCUACUGAGUCCCCUGGAACGGGGCGCCAGAGAGGGUGAGAGCCCCGUAUAGUGGGAUGCCUAGCCUCUGUAAAGCUCCUUCGACGAGUCGAGUAGUUUGGGAAUGCUGCUCAAAAUGGGAGGUAAAUUUCUUCUAAAGCUAAAUAUUGGCCAGAGACCGAUAGCGCACAAGUAGAGUGAUCGAAAGAUGAAAAGCACUUUGAAAAGAGAGUUAAACAGCACGUGAAAUUGUUGAAAGGGAAGCGCUUGUGACCAGACUUGCGCCCGGUUGAUCAUCCGGUGUUCUCACCGGUGCACUCCUCCGGGCUCAGGCCAGCAUCGGUUCUCGCGGGGGGAGAAAGGCCCAGGGAACGUAGCUCUUCCGGGAGUGUUAUAGCCCUGGGUGUAACGCCCUCGCGGGGACCGAGGUUCGCGCAUCUGCAAGGAUGCUGGCGUAAUGGUCAUCAGCGACCCGUCUUGAAACACGGACCAAGGAGUCAAGGUUUUGCGCGAGUGUUUGGGUGUCAAACCCGCACGCGUAAUGAAAGUGAACGUAGGUGAGAGCUUCGGCGCAUCAUCGACCGAUCCUGAUGUAUUCGGAUGGAUUUGAGUAGGAGCGUUAAGCCUUGGACCCGAAAGAUGGUGAACUAUGCUUGGAUAGGGUGAAGCCAGAGGAAACUCUGGUGGAGGCUCGCAGCGGUUCUGACGUGCAAAUCGAUCGUCAAAUCUGAGCAUGGGGGCGAAAGACUAAUCGAACCAUCUAGUAGCUGGUUACCGCCGAAGUUUCCCUCAGAUAGCAGUGUUGUUCUUCAGUUUUAUGAGGUAAAGCGAAUGAUUAGGGACUCGGGGGCGCUUU
This 931-nucleotide ribosomal RNA is filed under the name Pseudorhypophila pilifera. RNAcentral's name for it is "Zopfiella pilifera partial large subunit ribosomal RNA". It matches the Rfam family "Eukaryotic large subunit ribosomal RNA", at positions 75 to 1042 of the family's 3401-position model. Lineage: Eukaryota; Fungi; Ascomycota; Sordariomycetes; Sordariales; Naviculisporaceae. The record is from RNAcentral.